Molecule: long non-coding RNA, 215 nt
Filed under: Hordeum vulgare
Lineage: Eukaryota; Viridiplantae; Streptophyta; Magnoliopsida; Poales; Poaceae
Description: long non-coding RNA (HVUL_LNC004100)
Source: RNAcentral
AUGACUGAAACAUUGAAGAAAAGGGGUGGGAGGGCGGGGAAAAACAAAGACAACUUGGGACAGAUGAGAUGAAAUCUGGAAUAAAAUGAGAGAAUGGUCUUGCAAAAAUUGGAGAGGAUUGAAUCCACUUGGAGAGAAACACUCCGGUUGAAUGGAAUUGAUAAGACGAUCUAAAUGAGCAAAGAAUUUGCAUUCACAUAAAAAUAUAAGAACAC